This is a long non-coding RNA of Halichondria panicea, 623 nucleotides long. RefSeq lists it as uncharacterized. The transcript has 3 exons. The record is from RefSeq and is a predicted model, not a curated record. NCBI's taxonomy places the organism in Eukaryota, Metazoa, Porifera, Demospongiae, Suberitida, Halichondriidae.
GUGGCUUGCGAGUCUAAUAGUAGACACAACAAAAAUGGCUGUCAAAAGUUUAUUUCAAGAAGCAUGAAGAAGUCUGUUCUCAACCUCCUACUGGGGGUUCCACAGGAGCUAAAGUUCGAGACUGAAGAUACCAAGCAAGUCUUUGUAGGUUUAAUUGACAGUGCUAAGCGUUGUCUUGCUGCCAGACAUUCAUUGGCCCAGCAUGAGGAUCUGACAAACUGAUGCUGAUGUGGACAUAAAUAACUCAAGUCGCGUUGAAGACGCUUUGAAGGACUGCGACUGCCUUUGCUUGUUGACAGUCUCCCUGGGUACACCAUCAACCUAUGUAGAAAAUAAUCGAACUUUCGAUGAAUUUCCACAAUGGCAUAUUUUCAAUGCCGUCUAUUAUGCAAGAAAGCAAGCUUCCUAACUCUUCCACAACGUUCCCUGGACUGUAGCUGACCUGGAGCUGAAAAGAUUCCUUUAUUGUGCAUAGCCUUUUGCUGUAUCUAUUCAUAAAGUAUUUUGUCAGCCAUUAUGAUAAUCAUUUAUUUUUUUGUUUUUUGUUUCUGCUUCUGGUAAAAAAGAAAAACUACCAAGAAUGUAUUUCCUUUCCCUUUGUGUAUAUUUUUGAGUGUUCACAG